Molecule: ribosomal RNA, 511 nt
Filed under: uncultured bacterium
Lineage: Bacteria
Description: bacterial SSU rRNA
Rfam family: Bacterial small subunit ribosomal RNA
Source: RNAcentral
GCUGGCGGCGUGGCAUUAGGCAUGCAAGUCGAACGGUAUCUUUCCGACGGAUCCUUCGGGUGAAGUUGGUUUGAGAGAGUGGCGAACUGGUGAGUAACACGUGGGCAACUUGCCCCUGAGUUCGGGAUAGCCCGCCGAAAGGCGGGGUAAUACCGGAUGUGGUCGCUCCGCGAUUGCGGAGUUGUCUGAAGGUGGGGAUUCUUCGGAACCUAUCGCUCAGGGAUAGGCCCGCGGCCUAUCAGCUUGUUGGUGAGGUAACGGCUCACCAAGGCAGAGACGGGUAGCUGGUCUGAGAGGAUGGUUAGCCACACUGGGACUGAGACACUGCCCAGACUCCUACGGGAGGCUGCAGUCGAGAAUCAUUCACAAUGCGCGAAAGCGUGAUGAUGCGACGCCGCGUGGAGGAUGACGGCCUUCGGGUUGUAAACUCCUGUCGUGAGGGAACAAGGAUAGCCAGGUUAAUACCCUGGUUAUUUGAUGGUACCUCAAAAGGAAGCCACGGCUAACUCUG